CCUACGGGUGGCUGCAGUGAGGAAUAUUGGUCAAUGGGCGCGAGCCUGAACCAGCCAAGUAGCGUGAAGGAUGACUGCCCUACGGGUUGUAAACUUCUUUUAUAAAGGAAUAAAGUGAGGCACGUGUGCCUUUUUGUAUGUACUUUAUGAUUACUGAUCGGCUAACUCCGUUCCAGCAGCCGCGGUAAUACGGAGGAUCCGCGCGUUAUCCGGAUUUAUUUGGUUUAACGGGAGCGUAGAUGGGUUGGUAAGUUAGUUGUGAAAUUUUGCGGCUCAACCGUAAAAUUGCAAUUGAUACUGGCAGACGUGAGUACAGUAGAGGUAGGCGGAAUUCGUGGUGAAGCGGUGAAAUGCUUAGAUAUCACGAAGAACACCGAUUGCGAAGGCAGCUUACUAAACUGCCACUGACAUUGAGGGUCGAAAGUGUGGGUAUCAAACAGGAUUAGAUACCCGGGUAGUC
RNAcentral lists this ribosomal RNA (460 nucleotides) under uncultured bacterium. RNAcentral describes it as "partial 16S ribosomal RNA". It matches the Rfam family "Bacterial small subunit ribosomal RNA", at positions 338 to 795 of the family's 1533-position model. The record is from RNAcentral.